UGGAGUUGCCGAGAAAUAAGACCCUCGAUUGUGAAAAAUACUAUCAUUGUAUAUGAUGGUAUAAAGCGCAAAAGUCUAGCUGAUAAGUAAGUUCUUCAUAAGAGGACAUUUCCAUUACGAAUUCAGUCGCAAACUGUAGAAUUAGCUACUCUACAAUUUAGUGAACGUUAGUAACGGUGUAAUUAAUAUAAUCUUUGGAAGGAUUAUUGUAUUACUAAAUAACUCCUC
This 228-nucleotide non-coding RNA is filed under the name unclassified sequences. Its description in RNAcentral is "RAGATH-14 RNA". It matches the Rfam family "RAGATH-14 RNA". From Rfam's summary of the family: RNA motif Associated with Genes Associated with Twister and Hammerhead ribozymes (RAGATH). The record is from Rfam by way of RNAcentral.